This 231-nucleotide ribosomal RNA is filed under the name uncultured bacterium. Its description in RNAcentral is "partial 16S ribosomal RNA". It matches the Rfam family "Bacterial small subunit ribosomal RNA", at positions 103 to 334 of the family's 1533-position model. The record is from RNAcentral.
CGGGUGAGUAACACGUAUCCAACCUGCCGUCUACUCUUGGACAGCCUUCUGAAAGGAAGAUUAAUACAAGAUGGCAUCAUGAGUCCGCAUGUUCACAUGAUUAAAGGUAUUCCGGUAGACGAUGGGGAUGCGUUCCAUUAGAUAGUAGGCGGGGUAACGGCCCACCUAGUCUUCGAUGGAUAGGGGUUCUGAGAGGAAGGUCCCCCACAUUGGAACUGAGACGCGGUCCAA